CCUACGGGAGGCAGCAGUGGGGAAUCUUGCACAAUGGGGGAAACCCUGAUGCAGCGACGCCGCGUGAGCGAUGAAGUAUUUCGGUAUGUAAAGCUCUAUCAUCAGGGAAGAAAAUGACGGUACCUGACUGAGAAGCCCCGGCUAACUACGUGCCAGCAGCCGCGGUAAUACGUAGGGGUCAAGCGUUAUCCGGAUUUACUGGGUGUAAAGGGAGCGUAGACGGCGGUGCAAGCCAGAUGUGAAAGCCCGGGGCUCAACCCCGGGACUGCAUUUGGAACUGGGCGGCUAGAGUGUCGGAGAGGCAGGCGGAAUUCCUAGUGUAGCGGUGAAAUGCGUAGAUAUAAGGAGGAACACCAGUGGCGAAGGCGGCCUACUGGACGAUGACUGACGUUGAGGCUCGAAAGCGUGGGGAGCAAACAGGAUUAGAUACCCUUGUAGUC
Molecule: ribosomal RNA, 440 nt
Filed under: uncultured bacterium
Lineage: Bacteria
Description: partial 16S ribosomal RNA
Rfam family: Bacterial small subunit ribosomal RNA
Source: RNAcentral